This 75-nucleotide transfer RNA is filed under the name Anaerolineae bacterium. RNAcentral's name for it is "tRNA-Gln". It matches the Rfam family "tRNA". Rfam says of the family: Transfer RNA (tRNA) molecules are approximately 80 nucleotides in length. Their secondary structure includes four short double-helical elements and three loops (D, anti-codon, and T loops). The record is from RNAcentral. Lineage: Bacteria; Bacillati; Chloroflexota; Anaerolineae.
UGGGGGAUAGUUUAAUUGGCAGAACGACGGGUUCUGGCCCCGUUAGUCUUGGUUCGAGUCCAGGUCCCCCAGCCA